Ribosomal RNA from Castor canadensis (American beaver), 119 nucleotides. NCBI's taxonomy places the organism in Eukaryota, Metazoa, Chordata, Mammalia, Rodentia, Castoridae. The record is from Ensembl.
GUCUAUGGCCAUGCUACCCUAAACUGCCCAAUCUCAUCUGGUCUCAGAAGCUAAGCAGGGUUGGGCCUGAUUAGUACUUGGAUAGGAAACAAAUCUUCAAAAGAGACUGCUCAGAGACA